Molecule: ribosomal RNA, 253 nt
Filed under: uncultured bacterium
Lineage: Bacteria
Description: partial 16S ribosomal RNA
Rfam family: Bacterial small subunit ribosomal RNA
Source: RNAcentral
UACAGAGGGGGCAAGCGUUGUUCGGAAUUACUGGGCGUAAAGGGCGCGUAGGCGGCCUUCUAAGUCGAACGUGAAAUCCCCGGGCUCAACCCGGGAACUGCGUCCGAGACUGAAAGGCUUGAAUCCGGGAGAGGGAUGUGGAAUUCCAGGUGUAGCGGUGAAAUGUGUAGAGAUCGGGAGGAACACCGGUGGCGAAGGCGGGUCUCUGGGCAAUUCCUGACGCUGAGGCGCGAAAGCGUGGGGAGCAAACGGG